This is a long non-coding RNA of Nannospalax galili (Upper Galilee mountains blind mole rat), 702 nucleotides long. RefSeq lists it as uncharacterized. The transcript is spliced from 3 exons. Lineage: Eukaryota; Metazoa; Chordata; Mammalia; Rodentia; Spalacidae. The record is from RefSeq and is a predicted model, not a curated record.
UUCUGCCUCCAGAUUCCUGCUGAGUUCCUGCACUGACUUCCCUCAUGGAUGGAUGAUGCACUGUGGUUGAGACAUAUAAUCUGAAUACACCCUUUCCUCCCACAAGUUGGUUUUGGUAAAGGCAUUUAUUCCAGCAAGAGGCAUGAAACUACGACAGCAAGACUACAGCCAAGAGUUCUGAAGGGAGAGUGCCUGCACUGUGGAACUCCUGUUUUCCCUUUCAAGCUUCCUGAUCAGUUUCAGGACUUGACAUCAGAAUGUCUCAAGCGUGAUAGAAAUGUUGGAUCGUGGCCCCAAGGAAAUGUGCUGUCCUGGAUUCACUUUCCAUGUUGAGUUCUAGUUUCUUGUCAUUUUAUCAACCUUGCAUUGGGAACAACUGAAGCUUAUCAACACUGAGGAAUUCCACUGUUGCAGUUUUCAUUUGCAGAUUGUGGCUUAGGUGUCACAUCUAUGGAAGCUUUGCCUAAUUCCAGUCCCAAGGAUUUUCUUCUGUGCUUUCUGCUAGAAGAUGUAUAAGUUUAGUGUUUAUAUUUACACACUGGAUCAAAUUUGAGUUGAAUUUUUAUGAUACAAUAAAGUAGUCAUACUUUAUAUUUGUGUGUAUGGAUAUUAACUUGCCCAUGAACAAUUUGUUAUAUAUUGUCUUUCUUCUACUGAACUGCUUUUAUGUUUGUCAAACAUCAGUUAUCCAAGGAGGAAGGC